RNAcentral lists this ribosomal RNA (502 nucleotides) under uncultured bacterium. Its description in RNAcentral is "bacterial SSU rRNA". It matches the Rfam family "Bacterial small subunit ribosomal RNA", at positions 28 to 490 of the family's 1533-position model. The record is from RNAcentral.
GACGAACGCUGGCGGCGUGCCUAAUACAUGCAAGUCGAACGCACUCUCGUUUAGAUUGAAGGAGCUUGCUCCUGAUUGAUAAACAUUUGAGUGAGUGGCGGACGGGUGAGUAACACGUGGGUAACCUGCCCUAAAGUGGGGGAUAACAUUUGGAAACAGAUGCUAAUACCGCAUAAAACCUAACACCGCAUGGUGUAGGGUUGAAAGAUGGUUUCGGCUAUCACUUUAGGAUGGACCCGCGGUGCAUUAGUUAGUUGGUGAGGUAAAGGCUCACCAAGACCGUGAUGCAUAGCCGACCUGAGAGGGUAAUCGGCCACACUGGGACUGAGACACGGCCCAGACUCCUACGGGAGGCAGCAGUAGGGAAUCUUCCACAAUGGACGAAAGUCUGAUGGAGCAACGCCGCGUGAGUGAAGAAGGUUUCGGAUCGUAAAACUCUGUUGUUGGAGAAGAAUGUAUCUGAUAGUAACUGAUCAGGUAGUGACGGUAUCCAACCAGAAAG